UGAGAGACCACGAGCAGCAGGCCUGGAAGCACCAUGCUGGCUGGAAGAAAAAUAGCAAGUUGUUCGGCCACAUCUUCACGCUGCAAACUUCUGCACUCCACGCAUUCGGGCCUUGAGAAGACAUGUCCAGAAAUCUUUGACGGGCUAUAUCCAGCAAAAAUACGAUGCUGCAUAUGUUCAUUGGAAACAAAAUCUCUCACGCGCUAGGAGUGAUACACACGGUCCAAAGCCUUGGUCCAACAUCACUUUGAAGAAGCAUUUCGUUCAGCAGGUUGCAGCACCCACGUACACACCAGCUGCUUACGGGCUGAUUGAUUCCAGCCUUGAAAACACAUCGGAUCCAGCAUUCUUCAACUGAAAGCUCAUGGCCCAACAUGUUUCUUCACAAGCAUCCACCACUCCAUCAAAACACAACAGCAGCAACUGAGGAGCUUCAUUUGGUCCAACUGCUUGAAGAAGCAUGGUGCAGCCCAUGUACCACACACGAUGCAUCCAGCAACGUCCAACAGCUUCAUUCCUGCAGCCCAGCAACAACCUUGCACACUGCCUUCACUCGGCCAACAACAUUUGGAAAGCACACAGCUGCAGCACCUCACUCUUGCAGCAGCAGCCUUGGCCCACCUUCCUAUUUUAUUUGAAGCACACAGUUGUAGCAUAAUCUAGCAAUCACCAUCCAGCAAGUACUUCCUCACUCACGACCCAAAGGGAAUGGAGGUGCAGCGGUCUUCAUAUGGAAGCAGCAUGGGAGGUGCAAGCAAGUCCAGCAGCACGUGGUGGCUGUAGAAGAAAUGGUCCAACAAUAUUGAAGGAGCUUUGACGUGUAGGCCUUGGCAGCAAUAGGCUGGAUUAAAUUUCUCGAGGAGGUGCACACUUGAAAAAAAGGGGGUAGCACGUUGCAAAUAACAUCACAGACUGGGCACAUGGAGGACUUUUAGCACAUCAUCUUUUAUUUAGGAGAAGCACACUGUUACAUUGGGAGAUAUAGGGUUUUCUUUAGUUUUUAAUAAGAGGUAGGCAGCAGCCGCCACUCUCCCAUAUUUUUUUCUUUUUCUUUAACGUUUUUUUGGAGAGCAUGAGGAAUGUUUUGAACGCUGUGUUCAACUGGA
Molecule: long non-coding RNA, 1106 nt
Filed under: Vigna radiata
Lineage: Eukaryota; Viridiplantae; Streptophyta; Magnoliopsida; Fabales; Fabaceae
Description: long non-coding RNA (VRAD_LNC011662)
Source: RNAcentral